This 632-nucleotide ribosomal RNA is filed under the name uncultured Stichotrichia. Its description in RNAcentral is "partial Bacterial large subunit ribosomal RNA". It matches the Rfam family "Bacterial large subunit ribosomal RNA", at positions 521 to 1140 of the family's 2925-position model. Lineage: Eukaryota; Ciliophora; Spirotrichea. The record is from RNAcentral.
GAACCCCUGCUAGGGGAGUGAAAUAGAACCUGAAACCAUGGACUUACAAGCGGUCGGAGCCCUAUGAUCCUUCGGGAUAAUGGGUGACGGCGUGCCUUUUGCAGAAUGAUCCGGCGAGUUAUCGUGCGUAGCGAGGUUAAGUCUUUAAGGGACGAAGCCGAAGCGAAAGCGAGUGUGAAUAGCGCGUCUAGUUGCGUGCGAUAGACCCGAAAACAGGUGAUCUAACCAUGGCCAGGCUGAAGCGCGCGUAAAAGCGCGUGGAGGGCCGAACGGUUUAACGUUGAAAAGUUAUCCGAUGAGCUGUGGUUAGGAGUAAAAGGCUAAUCAAACCUGGAGAUAGCUGGUUCUCCCCGAAAUAGCUUUAGGGCUAGCCUCACGUAAUAACCGUUGGGGGUAGAGCUACUGAGUGGGAUAGGGGGGCUUCCCGCCUACCCUACCCAUCCAAACUCCGAAUACCAUCGGUCGUAUCGUGGGAGUCAGACCAUGGGGGAUAAGCUCCUUGGUCAAGAGGGAAACAGCCCAGAUCGUCGGCUAAGGUCCCAAAGACAUGCUAAGUGGUAAAGGAAGUGGAGAUGCUAAGACAGCCGGGAUGUUGGCUUAGAAGCAGCCAUCAUUUAAAGAAAGCGUAACAG